RNAcentral lists this ribosomal RNA (249 nucleotides) under uncultured bacterium. Its description in RNAcentral is "partial 16S ribosomal RNA". The stretch from base 1 to 195 matches the Rfam family "Bacterial small subunit ribosomal RNA", at positions 118 to 311 of the family's 1533-position model. The record is from RNAcentral.
UGAGGAACAUGACCUUCGGCGGGGGAUAGCCGGCCCAACGGCCGGGUAAUACCGCGUACGACCACAUGGGGACACCCCUGAGUGGUGAAAGCAGCAAUGCGCCGAUGGAGUGCCUCGCGGCCUAUCAGCUAGUUGGUGAGGUAACGGCUCACCAAGGCGACGACGGGUAGCUGGUCUGAGAGGAUGGCCAGCCACUAGUGGACUAGGAACGACCGACCGGCCCAAGUACCUCCCGGUAAGGGACGGACG